CCUACGGUAGGCAGCAGUAGGGAAUUUUCGUCAAUGGGCGCAAGCCUGAACGAGCAAUGCCGCGUGAACGAGGAAGGUCUUCGGAUCGUAAAGUUCUGUUGAAGGGGAAAAAGAGCGGAGAGAGGAAAUGAACUCCGAUUGAUAUUACCCUUCGAGGAAGUCACGGCUAACUACGUGCCCGCAGCAGCUGUAAUACGUAGGUGGAGAUCGUUAUCCGGAAUGAGUGGGCGUAAAGGGUGCGUAGGCGGCCUGCUAAGUCUGGAGUGAAAGGUACCGGCUCAACCGGUAUAGGCUCUGGAAACUGGCGGGCUAGAGAGCAGGAGAGGGCGGUGGAACUCCAUGUGUAGCGGUAAAAUGCGUAGAUAUAUGGAAGAACACCAGUGGCGAAGGCGGCCGCCUGGCCUGUUACUGACGCUGAGGCACGAAAGCGUGGGGAGCAAAUAGGAUUAGAUACCCCAGUAGUC
This 464-nucleotide ribosomal RNA is filed under the name uncultured bacterium. RNAcentral's name for it is "partial 16S ribosomal RNA". It matches the Rfam family "Bacterial small subunit ribosomal RNA", at positions 338 to 795 of the family's 1533-position model. The record is from RNAcentral.